AACGAACGCUGGCGGCAUGCCUAACACAUGCAAGUCGAACGAUCCCUUCGGGGAUAGUGGCGCACGGGUGCGUAACGCGUGGGAAUCUGCCCUCAGGUACGGAAUAACUCAGGGAAACUUGAGCUAAUACCGUAUAAUGACUUCGGUCCAAAGAUUUAUCACCUGGGGAUGAGCCCGCGUCGGAUUAGCUAGUUGGUGAGGUAAAAGCUCACCAAGGCGACGAUCCGUAGCUGGUCUGAGAGGAUGAUCAGCCACACUGGGACUGAGACACGGCCCAGACUCCUACGGGAGGCAGCAGUGGGGAAUAUUGGACAAUGGGCGCAAGCCUGAUCCAGCAAUGCCGCGUGAGUGAUGAAGGCCUUAGGGUUGUAAAGCUCUUUUACCCGGGAAGAUAAUGACUGUACCGGGAGAAUAAGCCCCGGCUAACUCCGUGCCAGCAGCCGCGGUAAUACGGAGGGGCUAGCGUUGUUCGGAAUUACUGGGCGUAAAGCGCACGUA
RNAcentral lists this ribosomal RNA (498 nucleotides) under uncultured bacterium. Its description in RNAcentral is "bacterial SSU rRNA". It matches the Rfam family "Bacterial small subunit ribosomal RNA", at positions 28 to 573 of the family's 1533-position model. The record is from RNAcentral.